UUGCUAUCUGCGAUUUGAAAGAUUCGAGCCAGCAGCAGGUUCGAGCCGAACGAAGUGAGGCACCGGAGCCACUGGCGACGGCCCGAAGGGUGAGCAACGUGAAUCAUCCUGCACGACCUACUA
This 123-nucleotide small RNA is filed under the name Lelliottia amnigena. RNAcentral's name for it is "RtT sRNA". It matches the Rfam family "RtT RNA". Rfam says of the family: This family represents a bacterial cis-regulatory element known as RtT RNA. The exact function of RtT is unknown although it is thought that it may be involved in changing the cellular response in relation to amino acid starvation. Lineage: Bacteria; Pseudomonadati; Pseudomonadota; Gammaproteobacteria; Enterobacterales; Enterobacteriaceae. The record is from RNAcentral.